CCUACGGGAGGCAGCAGUGGGGAAUCUUGCGCAAUGGGCGAAAGCCUGACGCAGCAACGCCGCGUGCGGGAAGAAGGCUUUCGGGCUGUAAACCGCUUUCAGCAGGAACGAAAAUGACGGUACCUGCAGAAGAAGGAGCGGCCAACUAUGUGCCAGCAGCCGCGGUGAUACAUAGGCUUCAAGCGUUGUCCGGAUUUAUUGGGCGUAAAGAGUUCGUAGGCGGUCGAGUAAGUCGGGUGUGAAAAUUCUGGGCUCAACCCAGAGACGCCACCCGAUACUGCUUAACUUGAGUUCGAUAGGGGAGUGGGGAAUUCCUAGUGUAGCGGUGAAAUGCGCAGAUAUUAGGAGGAACACCGGUGGCGAAGGCGCCACUCUGGAUCGAUACUGACGCUGAGGAACGAAAGCAUGGGUAGCAAACAGGAUUAGAUACCCUGGUAGUCCAUGCCGUAAACGGUGGGCACUAGGUGUGGGAUUCUAUUAACGAAUUCCGCGCCGUCGCUAACGCAUUAAGUGCCCCGCCUGGGGAGUACGGUCGCAAGACUAAAACUCAAAGAUAGUCGCGNGNGAGAGCGACGACGACGACGAGGAGGAG
Molecule: ribosomal RNA, 592 nt
Filed under: uncultured bacterium
Lineage: Bacteria
Description: bacterial SSU rRNA
Rfam family: Bacterial small subunit ribosomal RNA
Source: RNAcentral